Long non-coding RNA from Pleuronectes platessa (European plaice), 2750 nucleotides. RefSeq lists it as uncharacterized. The transcript is spliced from 2 exons. NCBI's taxonomy places the organism in Eukaryota, Metazoa, Chordata, Actinopteri, Pleuronectiformes, Pleuronectidae. The record is from RefSeq and is a predicted model, not a curated record.
CAGCUUCUACACAUACAUGACAACACAAGAGAAGCAAACAACAACCGCUCCAGGACCAACAACCUCGAGGAAAGCGUGAACGAUCCAGAACUCCAUUAACACUCACAGCUGCUCCAUCUUGUCUCCUUGGCGUCGGGCGUACGGGCUCCUCUGAAGUUCCACGAUCUCCGAGUGCAGAGCCAUGAUCUCAUCAUCCAAGUGGCUCACCUCUGCCACCUGCAGGACAGAAACAGGAACAGGUGGUCACUGUCAGGCUUUGCACUGAGAAAACACCAGAGGACCAUUUGAAUGCUCUACACACGCGUGUUGUGUUUAGUCAGCUUUCAUCACCUGUGCAAAGGCAGCAGCUCUCUCCUCGUUCUCCUGCCAGGCCUUCAGCAUCUUCUCAGAGGCUUCGAGACGAACACAGGACAAAUCAUCAGAUCAAGAAAGGUCCCGCUCACAGUAAGAACAUCCUGAACCUGAACUCAGAGUAAAAGCAAAGCUGCCAGUCAACACUCACAUAUGCCGUAGUGCAUCUGAUCGCUGUAUUUCUCCAGGUCGUACUGGAUGCUGCUCUUGAAGAAAUCUAACUUGGCUUUCAGCUGCUGAGAGAAGCCGAACAUGCUGUUCUUACAGCGGGUCAGGUUGGUGUUGUAGCGCAGGAGGCUCAGCCUGGAGGGAGGAGGAGGAGGAGGAGGAGGAGGAGGAGGAGGAGGAGGAGGAGACAGUUAACAGUGUAGGUAUUUGUAUGAUGAUAUGUUCUGUUAUUUCUGUUUCUGGGAUUCAGGGAACAACAGAAACAGAAAUCUUUCUUCAAGCCGACAGUUAUUAAUGUAAAACAGGUCAUUUUAAAAACACGGAGGAACAUCUGAGAAAAACCAAUAAGCUAAAUGAAGAGCUCUGUCGGUCAUGUGACUCACAUUGCCGCCCUCUGUCCUUGAAAGAGUCGGCUGUAGUCGUCCUUCAGGCCACAGAUGUAGCUCACGGCUUCUCCCCAAACCUUCUUCAGCGCCGCCAGGGGCAGCUGCGUCUUGGCCUCUUGAACUGAGAAGGUUCAAACCAAAGUAAGAACGUUGAUCUGUUUCUUUCCUCUGGUUCGUUAUGAAGGUUUUUGUAACAAGUUAAAGAAGCAAAGUCUGAGGUUUCCCCACUUAGAACUGAACCACACACUCACCGAUGGUGCUGACUUUGUCGGGCAGCUGUCUGGCACUGAGGGGCCCGGAGUACUUGGUGAUGCUCUUGUCGAACAGGUAGACGAUGUAGCUGUCCCAGCCUCUCUACACAGCAGAGCAGGAGAUCAUCAGUUACUGCAAACACCUCAUUACCCAGUGGCUCCCUGAAGUCCCUCAGCGCACACGCAGCCAGUGUGAAUCAUAAGAAGUGCACACGCAGCUUCUCCUGCUUCCUGUUCUAAAGCCCUGAGACAAGUCACUUAAAGAGCUCGUAAAUGCUCCAGAGGGAGAGAAGAACUUCUGAAGAACUUUAUACUUUUUACUCUAUUAGAGCUCGAGAUGGUUGGAUCCUAUUUUUUCUGAUCACGGCUCCAGACUAACUUUUAAUUAUUACAUGUUUAUACCGUUUCUUGACAUUUCCCAUACACACUGGUCAUUUCUUAACGAGGGUUUGAUUCCAGUGGUUUGACUCCAGUUAGAUUCUCAGAGAACUGAAGCUGUAAACUGAACCAGGAAACCUCUGAACCAACGCAGGGUUACAACUACAACCUGAUGAAACUGAGGUCUUGCAUGUGGUUCACGUUGCCUUUUGACUUGUGGGACUUUCCAGUGUGAAAUAUGUCAAUGUGAACGCUACACAACCAGAAAUCACUUCUUCUUAACCGAGCUAGAACAGAUUUUGCAACUGCAGACUUGUUGUGUAUAACAGACAUUUCCACUAGUAUCAGAACAUCUCUGAAUAAAUCUGGAGACAGUGUCAGUGGGUUUCAAAGUGAUCAUUCUUCAACCCACCACUCCAUCCAGGACGCACUGCGCCGCCGGCUUCCUGGGGUCCAGUGACACGCCCGUCUCCUGCAGCAGCUCCUGGUUCACCACCUCGAUCUUGGUCUCGGCCUCGAUGCGUUUCUGCAGGCUGUGGAGUGACUCGUCUGGAGUCAGCUGGAAAGAGUGGACCUGAGCGGUGGUCAUGUUCAGGAUGUGGACGACCUGAGGGGACAGACAGGGAGAGGAAAGAUGAGCCGAGCAUUUACAUUCUCAAACUAGAAGGACUUCAGAUCCAGGGCACCACUGACUCAAGUCUGUGAAAACUCACCUUGGUGCUCAGUAUCUGCUCCAGAACUUCGAAGCACAUGGGUUUCUUGGUGUCGGGAUUCACUUUGCCUCCUCUGUGGAGAGGAUCCCACUUCAACAUCAGCUGGAGCAGAGACUCCAUCGGCUCCAACAUGGUCCUGUGAGACAGCAGAUUAAUGACGUGUACCAGGAGAGAGAGGAGCAGCAAACAGCAGACACCUCUUUCCUCUGAGGGAUCGUAACAGUCACAGUGUUCCAACCUGCUCAGGUUGUUGGGGUAGGGGAGGUGAGUGGAGAAUCGGACUUCUCCGCUCACGUCUUCCACCGCCAUGAUGUCUUUAGGACCUUUGUUCCGCACUUUGGUCGCCCUGUGAAUGAAAAGAGACGAGUAGAGCAGAAAUCACUCAUCGUGAAAUCGAUCUACAGAAGAAUCUAUCAGCGAGCAGUUUGACCAUCAAUAGAAAUCCUGUUGUCAAGCUAAAGUUUAUUCCAACCGAAUAAAAUGUGUGAAAUGUCUUGAAUUUA